This 112-nucleotide small nucleolar RNA is filed under the name Drosophila willistoni. Lineage: Eukaryota; Metazoa; Arthropoda; Insecta; Diptera; Drosophilidae. The record is from RNAcentral.
AUCAAUAAAUUGUUGUAGUAUUCUAAAUGGACUACAACAAACUGAUAAACUACUCCUCUUAAGGAUAUCGUCUCGAAGAUAUAACCUUAAUAAAGUUCAAAAAUCAACAAAA